RNAcentral lists this long non-coding RNA (1447 nucleotides) under Macaca mulatta (Rhesus monkey). Its description in RNAcentral is "lncRNA (ENSMMUG00000056019.1)". Lineage: Eukaryota; Metazoa; Chordata; Mammalia; Primates; Cercopithecidae. The record is from RNAcentral.
UACAUGGUGUUUGUGAGAAGAUUUUGAGUCAUUUGCAUUUCUCUCGUAGAAAGAAUGGAACCAGAAGCUUUGUCCAUGGAAGACCACUCCCCAUAUCACACCUGUUGGCUGGUGAUGGCUUGCCCAGUUGGGGCAAUUGUGGCUGGGAAAUAUUGAGGUGUUCUUAAUAAUAGUCAUAGCAAGCAAUUUACUGGAUGCUUACUCUAUUCCAGGCACUGUUUAGAGUAAUUUCUAGGUAUCAUUUCAUUCACCCUCCACAACCUUUUGAGGUAGGUAUUGACAGAAGAAAAAAAUUGAGAGACAGGAAUGUUAAUUUGCUACAGCCAGGAUCCAGACCAUCUGACUCCAAAGUACCUUCUUUCAACUCUUACACUAGACUUCCUCUAAGGAUCCAUCUUCUGAUCUGCCAAUAAAUUUUUAUUGAGUUUCUUACUAUAAUCAGGAGCUCAAGUGUAGAGCAGAAGAUUAAUCUAGUUCCUUCUCCAGAUAAGCCUCCAUUCUCUUGGGAGUGCACAAACAUAAGAAGUGAACAGAGAUUCUUGGAAAUUUGAGAAACCAGAGAGGUUAGGGGUUUAGUGGAACGUGUAAGAAAUGGGAUUAAUGAUAAAAGGCCUGGAGGAGGUAACUUUAAAUUGUCAUUUAUUUGAAGAGGCUGUAACCCAACUGCCCUGUGAAUAUAAAGUUAUGCUUGAAUUCCUCAUUGCAUAUCUGAAGAUUGGUGAGGUUAUCUAUCACUUGAGCUCCAUAAAAUGCUGAUUCCUGGGUCCAUCCAGUAGGUUGUUAGUGAGUGACAGGAUGAUCCAGGUUUGGGAACCACAGAUUUAGUUCAUGUUUCUGACUCUGUAGAGAGUUAACGAAUUGAUGUCUCCUAAAUUUUCAAUAAAACUCGAGGAACUCCUCCCACUGCCAUUGUUUGUAGCUUUUACCAGUUUGAUCCUACCUGUGUUAGGUGUUAAAGGAGGAGGGAAAGGGAAGGCAGAGACGCAACCCAGAAUCUGUGUGGCAAGUCGGGGUUCUCAUAUAGGAGACUUACUGAACAAAGCAAGAGAAAAUGUUCAGGGUCUGGGUGCGGUGGCUCACGCCUGUAAUCCCAGUAGUUUGGGUGGGCAGAUCACCUGAGGUCAGGAGUUCGAGACCAGCCUGACCAAUAUGAUGAAACCCCGUCUCUACUAAAAAUACAAAAAUUACCUGGGUACGGUGGCUUGUGCCUGUAAUCCCAGCUACUCGGGAGGCUGAAACAGGAGAAUCGUUUGAAUCUGAGAGGCAGAGGUUGCAGUGAGCUGAGAUCGAUCACUUGAGGCCGGGAGUUUCAGACCGACCUGAGCAACAUGGCAAAACUGCGUCUCUAAAAAAAUAAAUAAAAAUAAAAAAUUAUCAUAUGGCAAGCUAUUCUAUUUUUAAAAAGCAGUAACAAAGGAACUUGUUGCUUUAAAAAAAAAAAAAAAAA